Molecule: ribosomal RNA, 252 nt
Filed under: uncultured Bacteroidales bacterium
Lineage: Bacteria; Pseudomonadati; Bacteroidota; Bacteroidia; Bacteroidales
Description: partial 16S ribosomal RNA
Rfam family: Bacterial small subunit ribosomal RNA
Source: RNAcentral
UACGUAGGAUGCGAGCGUUAUCCGGAUUUAUUGGGUUUAAAGGGUGCGUAGGCGGAUUUGUAAGUCAGCGGUAAAAGCCCGGGGCUCAACCCCGGCCCGCCGUUGAAACUGGCUGGCUUGAGUUGGGGAAAGGCAGGCGGAAUGCGCGGUGUAGCGGUGAAAUGCAUAGAUAUCGCGCAGAACCCCGAUUGCGAAGGCAGCAUACCGGCGGCGAUCUGACGCUGAGGCACGAAAGCGUGGGUAUCGAACAGG